CUGUCAUUAGUUAGUCCCUCAACAAAAUAACAAUUGAGAAAAUGAUUUUCAUUAAAUAUUAAUGCAGUCUAAGUAUUGUAUUAUUGAGUAAGGAUCAUCCUCGUUAAUAAAGAUGAUGAUGGAGAUAAAUACUUGUAUUCUUUCUUUGGUGGUGGUGGAGAUUUGUAAUAGUAUGGUGGGGGAGGAGAAUGCACUGACGGAGAUGGAGAUGAGUACUUGUAAGGUGGUGGAGGAGAAUGAAGCGCAGGAGGAGGAGACUUAUACUUGUAAACAGGUGGUGGUGGAGAUGGGUACUUGUAUUUCCUCUUUGGUGGUGGUGGAGAUUUGUAAUAAUAUGGUGGGGGAGGAGAAUGCGCAGGUGGUGGUGGUGAGCAAUACUUAUAAGAAGGAGGUGAAUGGACAGAAGGAGGGGGUGACUUGUAUUUGUAAACAGGUGGUGGCGGGGAUGAGUAUUUGUAUGAUUUCUUAGGUGGGGGUGGGGGUGGUGAAUACUUGUAUGGAGGAGGAGAAUGAACUGGUGGCGGUGGUGAGUGAUAGUAGUAUGGUGGAGGAGGAGAAUGAAUUGGUGGAGGUGGAGAUGAAUAGAUGGAGUUGUUAGCUGAUAUUUGAGAUGGCAAGCUUUGAGAGAUUAUUGCUAAUACAAGAGUGAGUGUAGUGGA
This 659-nucleotide long non-coding RNA is filed under the name Lupinus angustifolius (narrow-leaved blue lupine). Its description in RNAcentral is "long non-coding RNA (LANG_LNC003730)". Lineage: Eukaryota; Viridiplantae; Streptophyta; Magnoliopsida; Fabales; Fabaceae. The record is from RNAcentral.